Molecule: long non-coding RNA, 6623 nt
Filed under: Panax ginseng (ginseng)
Lineage: Eukaryota; Viridiplantae; Streptophyta; Magnoliopsida; Apiales; Araliaceae
Description: long non-coding RNA (PGIN_LNC017083)
Source: RNAcentral
CAUGAUACUAGCUAGCUAGAAAAAAUGGCAUAUAGCAUCUGUACCGUCCGUUUAACAAAUCAGUGGUUGUGAUUUAGAAUGGAAAAUUGUCGUCCGCUAGUCUUACUAGCGGACGUGUUUAAUCAAAAUUUCGGACGUUUGUCCCCAAUUGGCCAAUUCAGAGACUGUAACUUAACAAUCCGCUAGGCAUACUAGCGGAUGGAUAUAAUACAAACAGUACAAUAUGUUAACUAAUUGGAUGGAUAUAAUACAAACGAUACAAUAUGUUAACCAAUUGGCCAAUUGCCUUCAUGCACACAAUACAAACGAUAUCCUUCCUUAACUGAAAAUCCCUGCAAGUAUUUCACGGAUGUUACUACAUCCUGCACCCAAUACAAACGAUAUCCUUCCUUAACUGAAAAUCCCAGUACAUACCUACAUCAAUUAAAAUACAACACUGCAAUACCGAUCUAAAAUAAACGUCCGGAAUACACAGCUUGUAAGUGUUCAACUAAAUUACUGCAAUAGUUGCUCAAUUCAGUUACAACAAAAAAAACGUGGUACAACCCAAUUGAUGUGAAAUACAAUACCCAAUACAUUCAAUUACAACACUGCAAUACCCAUCUUUCAGCAACAUAAUUCAAAUAAAUUCCUUCAAUACACAGCAACAUCAGUUCAAUUAAAUUCCUGCAAUACCCAGUACAUCAACAGUUAGUAGAGUUAUCACAUCCCCAAUACAUCAUAAUUUCCAAAUCUUUCCAAAUCAUAUUUGAAAUCCAAAUCAAAUCAAGAUUUGUCAAAUUCUAAAUUUUAGCAAAUCAAAUAUAUCAACUUCCAAAUUCUAGCAAAUCAAAAAUAUAAAAUUCCAAAUUCUAAGACAUUUUUACUAUUCAAUCAGUUGCAAAAGCCUCCCAGUGUAAAAACACCAUAACUGAGACUGAACUCUACACUCUUUAGGAAUCACAAUCGUGUAAACAGAAAUAAAUCGUUUUAACAUAUGCUAAAUGUUUUGUCUGCAAUGGAAUUGUACCAUGAAAAUAAUUUUUUUACUGUGCAGGCAUACACAAUGCAAUUGGAAGUAGAGCAGAUUCAACUGAAAGUAGACCAUCUGCAAAUCCAAUAAUGGGUGUUCUAAGUAGAAAAUCAGAUAAUCUUACCCAUGUUCACUUGCAUUCACAAAUCACGAUACAGAACAACUAAAAUUAGCAGGAUUACCAAAAACACCCAACUAAGUCAUAGCUACUGAGAUUUCAACCAAACAGAAAAUCAAAUCAAACAAACCAAACUAAGAAAAAUUUAAACCAUCAAAAGUAUACAGAGCACAUUCAAAAAAGCUAAGCUUUAUAUCAGCUAUAAGAAAUAUUGCAUGUCAGUAUCACUGUUAACGAAAACUAACCAGAUCAAUUUUCUGUCUUCAUUUCAAUUAUCAAUUCAACAAUGCAAGUAAAGAUUCUCCAGUACAAAGAAGGAUUUACAUGAACAAAUAACACCACACAAUUAAUAAAAUUUCAGGAAUUCAGAUUGCUUACAAAUUAGCUCUCCGAGAUCUAUGCAUAUAUUCAGUCAUUGUCAAUUCCAUUUUCCAAAAAAUUAAAACAAAAAAUAUGUCUUUACAGGAAAAGAGAGGUAACCUACUAGAUUAUGCAAAAAUAAGUCCAAGUUAACCAAAACCCUAAGAACUUGGAAGGCUAAAACAAUUUACUAGAUUAUUAGUGCUUUGUUGAAGUUUCAAUGCCAAUUACAGCUACAAUUUAGUUUUUAGAAGCUCCUGACCUCCUAUAUGCCGAACCAAAAAUAGCAUCAGAGAUUCAUAGUAUAGUUUCGGCCAAGAAUUAAUGGAGAAUCACAUCACCUUCAGAUUUUGGAGGUUAAAUAACAAACUUACCGAUUAAAUAUGCCAAACUUGUUGCCGAUUUGCUGUAUUUUGCUUCUAGGGUUCUAGCCAAUUACCCAAUUCGCCGAUUAGCUGUAUUUUGCUUCUAGGGUUCUAACCAAUUUACCCAAUUCGCACUGUAGCGUAUUACCUUUGUUACCUUACCCAAUUCGCACUGUAGCAUUCGCCGAUUUGCUGAAUUUUCUUUUUUGACUAGCGGAUGCUGGUAUCAAUCGAAUAAAUGGGGGGGGCAUAAGGGUCUUAAUUUUAGUAUAACCACGACCGCUAGUAAUACUAGCGGACGGCGUGUUCCCAUAACAGAUCUCACCCAUUCAUUAAUUACACGGACGGUAUAGAUGAUAAAUUAAACACACCUAGCUAGCUUUUGUGGGUUGAUAUGAUAUAGUGCUCUUUACCUAACAGAUAUAGUACUAACAUCAUACCACUACUUGAAAGUGAAAUCGAUUGCUAUCAGUUGAGCCGUUUUCUGUCUAAGAGUACGUAACAUAUAUCAUCCAUAACUCAACUCAAAGAUAGUAUUUUCUUGGGUCAUUUAAUUAGUCUACCACAAGUUCACCCAAAAGGUCAUGACUUAUAGGUACUAUUGUUAGUAACUUAAUUCCUUAUAUACAGGAAGAAAAUUCCAAAAAUUCUUAUAUCUUUUAAUGUGAGACUGAGAUGUUACAUAACGUUAUGUAAAACGUCCUACUACCUAAUAUUAAAACAUCCAACUGAAAAACAAUCGACACAAAAUAGAGUAUCAUAUCAAAAUUAUAUAGAGUGAUCUCCAUAUGAUCAACAACCUUGUGUGGUUUAUUUGUCUUCCUUUCACUUAAUUUCAUGAAUGGUACGUGAGUUUAGCCAUUUGAGUUGAGGGCAUGGGUGCUUCUGCUUCAUCUUUCUUUAUUUCUAAUUCCAUGCUAAGGCUGGUGAUUAUAGGGUUUAAUAACAAGCACGCACAGGUCUUUAAUUCUUUUAUACGACUUAUUCAUCACUAGCUAUUUUCUGCAUUCCUGUCGGUCAAGUGCUCCAAACAUUAGGGACACUGUUCAUAUGUUAUGUGGUCAGUGGCGAAACUAGGAAGUUAUAAUAGUGGGGUCAAAAUUAUUAGUAAGUUAUAAAAAAUUUGGCGGGAGUUCCAAUUUUUUUUAAUACUUUAUAUUUUCGGGUUAGACAAAUGAAUCCAAAUAUCCAAUUUAAUAAUACUAACAAAAGGGAGAAAUCACAAUUGAUUUCUGAAAACAAAACUGAGGUUGGAGAAAUUGAAGAGAGUAAUUUAUGUUACAUGCAAGGGCGCAAGGUUGCAAGAGAGUCGCAGUAGAAUAGAGUCGCACUCCAGUCUCCACACUCGCGGCUCGCCAGUCACCAAUACCCACUCCGACCACUCGCGAAAGGCUUUGAUGGUUCAUGAUUUGGCUUUGCCUCAUCUCUCUCUAUUUUGUGGCUGAAGUGCUGAACAUAUAUUGAUGUAUGAGAUUUAGGACUGAGGCUUGGCCGCUUGGGUAUCUCUAAUUAAAAAAAAAUCUUAGUGGAGUCAAAAAUUGAGUGAAAAUCAAAAAUUGAGUGGGAUACAAAAAAAUUUGUAACUGAUUUCAAAAAUUGAGUGGGGUCAAUUGACCCCACAAAUUUACCAUAGCUUCGCCCCUGUAUGUGGUCUGUGGUCUUUUAUAUAUAUAUAUAAUGCUUGCUUCUCUAUCUAUCUAUCUAUCUAUCUAUCUAUCUAUCAAAUAUUCUUUUAUUUUGAAAGUCCUUAAUAAGUUAACGUUAGGCCUGCGUACUAAUAUUAUAAUAGUGUAAAAAGACGGCUUUUUUUAUCAGCAAAAAUAAUUUUAUUAAUAAUCUCAAAUGUAAUACAUUCAACAUAUUUGGACGGGACAAGAAUUGAAAAACAAAACACAUCCCAACAUAAAACGUAAAAUGACAGUACUUGCAUGUCUCACAGAAUUGAAAAGCAAAAAAUAACUAUGCCUCAAAUUAAAUCAGUAUAAUUGAAAGGCAAGGCUAGGGGGUGAGAUUUUAACUCACUUUUAGAGCAUUCUUUGUGCUUCCAGCUAUCCUUACGAUUAUUUAUUUAUUUAUGUUUAAUCAAUGAGUUGCCUCAGUUCGGCCACAUCCAUCGGGUAUUCGAGUGUGAAGUUAAAAUUUUAAUAUACAAAGAAAAAUAAUAAUAAAUUCUCCUUUAAGUGUGUCCCUAAAUAGCUUGGCCACGCUAUUAAAUAAUUGUUAAAAUUUGAGCUAAAAUUAAAGUUUACUAAAUUCACAUAUCAAUGUGUUCUACUCCAUAAGUAAAUUAAAUUAAGUAUUUAAAAGUUCAAAUUCAUGGAGUAAUGAAUAAGAUAUUAACUACAAAAGAUCACCCUUGAAAAUGAUAAUAAAUCAUUGUGGGAAGCUAAUCAAGUCCUACAUCAGUUAAAAACUACUCCCUCCGCUCCAUGAUAAAAGUCCUUAUUACUAUUUUGGAUAGUCUCAUGUUAAAUGUUCAUUUUCCUUUAAUAACUAAAUUAACUUUUACACAUAUUUUCCUAGUAUACCCGUAGCAUUAAAUAUCUCAUACUUUUCUUAUUCUAAUUCUCUUUCCAUAUUUAAUGACAUUAUUAUGGGUAAUUUUGUCAUUUUAUUCAUCUUCUUAAUAUGCGUGAAAAAAAAAGUCCACCAGGACUUUUAUCCUGGGACGGAGGGAGUAAAAUUUUAAUGUGUUUAUAUACAAGAAAGUUGCUUUUGAAUUUGAGCCACAAAGGACACUCCACUUUUGUGGAGGGGAGAGUACCUUGCCAAGGCUUGGUUUAAACUCGCAUACAUUUUGAUAAAUGUUACUCCCUCCGUUCCUAAAAGAUUAUCGUUUUAGAAGAAAAAAUUUGUUCCAAAAAGUUUGUCGUCUACAACUUUCGAGGAGAAUAAAUUAUUUAUUUUCCUAUAUUACCCCUACCUUCUCUCAUUGUCCCAAGAAAUUCUCUUUCUUGUCUUAAUAGUUUUUAAUUUCCCAUAGAGGGAUAGUGAUGAAAUUUCAAACAAAUUUUACUUGGUAAAUGAUACUUUCUUAAUUCAUGUGCCAAAACCUUAAACGACAAUCUUUUAGGAACGGAGGUAGUAUUUAUUAUCAAAACUGUGUCGUUAUUACGUCGUUUCUUGUUCAGAACAGACACACCCUUUAUGCUAAGGCUUUUGACUAAACAAUAUCCUUUCAAAGGAUUGUGCCCUUCUGAUUAGUCACUAACCUCUAUUAUCUAUUUAUAAAUAGAUAAGGGGACAUUCAUUUCAUUCAUUCAAUUCGAAGCAAUUCAUAGUUCAUUAAAACUAGUAUUCAUUUCAUAAUUUUAGAGAGAGUUCUGAGCAUUAUUUUUGGUUCGUUGAGUAUACUAUUUGUACGUAGUGCUGCUAUAGUAUACGUUGUCAUUUUAUAUUGGGAGACAAAUGCUAUCAACUCUAAGUACCAUAAAGAGGGCAAAAUUAUCUUAAGGAUAUAAUUAAUAUCAAGUACUAACUUUAACAAAUUCACUUAUGUAAUUUUGAGAUAAGUUAAUAUAUAUAUAUAUAUAUAUAUAUAUAUAUAUAUAUAUAUAUAUAGUAUCCAUUCUUUUUUACUAACACUAAUGCACAUACAGAGUGUAAUAACGUCCACAAACCUAGGGUUUUGAAGAACCAUUAUGACCCGGACCUUACGAAGUAAAUAUUUAUCUUUAAAAAGAAGAAUUAAGAAAACACUGCAAAAUUGAAUUUCAUUUACAAAUUAAAGAGAACGUAAUAAAAAGAAGAGAUUAAAGGAAAAGUGAUAGAGCCAAAAAUGGUGUCCUGUUGUCUCUUCUUUGGGGUUUCCUUUCACACCUUGCUUGAUGCCUGCUUCUUCCUUUUUCUGGUUCUGAGCCAAGCAAGAAGAACUAAGUGACAACUUCAUAAUCUCUAAGUUUGUAAACACAACCCUUCCCACCACCAGUAUGUGACAUUCAGAAAUCAAAACAAACUCUAUGUGGCAUUAUUUCAAACACUUAAAAUGCAUCAAUUUCAGCCAAAGUAACAAUUAUUACUCCAAAAAUUGAUAAAAUGUUUGCAUCAAAUUCAGGAUAAGGAAACUAUAGGCUAAGGAGAGGGAAGUGUGAAAUUGAGAACUAAAUCUACAACACCAGAAUGAAGUCCUAGGUCCUCACCAUCCUUAACCAAAACACAAAGUCAGAAAAAUGGACUACCUUCAAACUGAAUCUAAGGAAGGCAAGUCAACAAAUUUAUACAAACAUAAGCACGUAAAUACAUCUACAUAGGUUCAUAUAGCAGAAAGUAGAAAGUGAUCAAAUGAAUUUGGGUACCUUGACACUGAAUCAGGGAAAGCCAAAUCAAGACCACCACCAGUUGGUUUCUAAUGCAAUUACAAAGGCACUUACUGCGUCUGUUGCUGUAAUUGUUUCAUGUAUCCCAUUGACACCCCUCCCUGCUCUGAUCUCUCAUCAUCUGAGAAAAUCCAAUUCGAAUAAUCCCCAAUUCCCGGCGCAGAACUCAGCGGACACCCGACGUCGUUGCCAAAAUAGUAGUUAAGUAGGUUGAGAUAAGGAGAAGGGGAGGGAUUUAUCGCUUGAGCGGGAAAUUAAAAGGAGCGAGAGAAGGGCAACAGAUAUAUGGAAGUGGAAUAGGGGUGGGGAAUCUAGGUUUCUGAUCCGCGGAGAAAGAGAAGGUACUGAAGAGGAAGAGGAGAAUAGGAGAAGACACCGACGGUUUUGUAGAUUGAAUGAUGGUCUCAAUUCCAAACUCGCCUAAGUUUUUCAAUUGGCCGACUCUUAAUUAA